Molecule: long non-coding RNA, 2282 nt
Organism: Lagopus muta (rock ptarmigan)
Lineage: Eukaryota; Metazoa; Chordata; Aves; Galliformes; Phasianidae
Exons: 4
Source: RefSeq, a predicted model, not a curated record
CCCACUGCUGGGCAUGAAAUAUACCUGACAAAGGACUUGUGGAUGUUGUCUGCAGACGCUGCCCAAAGAAAUACCCCCGGCAUUGCCUCGGGAGUGCUGUGCCAGCUCCUGCAAUAUUUUAAUGGCAGAACUGAGUGUAGUUGCUGUGCGGUGAGAAGAAGCAUCUAAACUCUGUCCCUGCAACACCAAAUGCUUCUGUCUGUCAUAUAAAGUUACUGAUCACUCUCAGCCACUCAAGUGUACCUUCGCAUUAACUGCUGUCAUCAGGGCAUUCUGGAAGCCAGUGUACCACAGGUGGCCAGUGGAUAGCUGAAAGCUGUCACCUACCACACAGGUGGGAGAUGUGAGUUCUGUGGGCUCUCAAGGUAACACAUUCCUCCACACAGUCCUUGAGGAACGCUGAAAUUUCAAGGAAGAGAAUCAAAGGCACAAUGCCUGCAGUGAAGGGAGCCGGCACUCAGCCUGCUGCUGGACAGACCUCUCAUCUCCCUCUUGUGCUGCCUCUGCUGUGGAUCAGUGCUGCAGGGGCUCAGGCUGCCAUUCUCAAGACACUCCACCAGCGGCAUUAAUGCAGCCGGGGCACUGACAAGCUGAGCUAAGACUUGCAGCAGCGCUGCUUCAACUCAAAGUAACGUGUGGUGCAAAAAAAAAAGUCUCUUCUUGGCAGAGGACAACACAAAGCUGUAAGAGGGCAAACAGAUGGGGACUGCCUCUACCCUGGUCAGGAAAAAUAGAAGUGUCGUUUGUGAAAAACCCCUGGCAUUUCAAGAGCUGCAUUCCAUUGUGUCAGACAAAAUGAGACCUUUCACAGCUUACCGAUGGGUGGGUGAGCAGUGAAGCUGGGGCUGGCCCAGCCCAGGUGAGCGCCCUCUGGCACUGACUGCAGGGCACUCGGGCUCGUGUUCUCUGGCCUCAUGCACCUCCUGGAGAAAUCUGUUUUCAAAAAAGUCACCUUUGAGGAAGCAUUUCUGCAUGGCAAGUACAACUUCUAUCAGGAAAGCUGCUUGAAGAGCUCCUGAUCAGAUGGUGUGUGCUUUCUGAUGGGCUUUUCUUUCUCGGGUGAUUUCCAGGAAGAUCUCUUGUCAUCAGUGAGAGCAAUGGGCACAGCUGGAAGCAGGAAACCCACCUUUCAGUGCUGGAUAGUGACUGUAUGCCCUAUGCUAUAUAUCAUCAUCUCUCUGCCUCCAUUUCCGUUCUGCUUCCUAUUUCUCUCCUUUGUAAGACAGAUGCACACUUAUUUAUUUCACCGAGCACCAUGCAGUCCUGGUGUCAUUUGGCAUCUGUGGAUGCUACAGUAAUAUGAAUAGUCAUUGCAAAGCAUUUUCUGAUAUUAAACAAAUUACAUAAAGAGAAAAUAAAGUACAAAACACAAGUGGUAACUCACAGAAAUCAUUAUGUACAUUUCUUGUUGGAAAACCUAUCUGAAUGUCAGUGAGCUGAAUGUCAGACGCUGGAUGGGGUGUCCUGGGGUGCAGGCGAGUGCCAAAGCGAGUGGUAAGGCCUGGCUGGCAUUCCAACACAGGAGCCUUGGGUCAAUGCUGCCACAUCUCUCUCUCAGUAGUCAUAAUUCGCUUCACACUCUACACAGUGUGAGAGUGAACCUUUUGUGAGAAUGCAGAAACAAGAUGUGUGAAAAAGUGAAUAAAUAUUGCAGUAAUUUCAUUGUGUGUACUUGGUAAGUUGGAUACACGCAUUAAUUUUUCCUGAAUAAUCCUUUAAUUUAGAGACUGCUUUACAAAACAAUGUCGGUGGCAGUGAAUAAUGCCUAUUUGAAUUUCUAAGCAGGGCCGAUAGGCUGAGAUCGUUCAGUCUGUGCAUUUAAAAAGUGAUGGAUUCAGUACCACCCUUCCUCCUCUUCCUGCAAUCAAUAAAUAUUCCCUUCCUAAUCGCCGGCCUCAGCCGUUUGGCCACGUUCUGCACUGAUUGGAUUCCAGAAACUAGCAGAUGACUGCGAUGACUUGGAAAGUCAGUGGGACAGCGUUCCCCGGGCACGGCUCGCAGCGUUGGCGAUCGCGAGGUGCGCGCACGGCGUCUGACCACCGCGUGAGCGACUUCGGGUCUGCGUGAACCUGCCGUUAGAACGCGGCGCAGAGCGUUUGAUAAGGCGUGUGCAGAACUCGGUCUCCUUUUAGCCUACGCGUCUAAAACAACUUUCCACAGGACCUCCGAGAUGGCCGGGGACUCCUGCCCGGACAACCGCCCUCGGCGCGGAGCCGGGCAGCGCCGCCCGCCCCGGAGCUGCACGGCAGAGGGCGUCAGACGGCGGCGGUAGCUCCGGCGGA